Molecule: ribosomal RNA, 267 nt
Filed under: uncultured Staphylococcus sp.
Lineage: Bacteria; Bacillati; Bacillota; Bacilli; Caryophanales; Staphylococcaceae
Description: partial 16S ribosomal RNA
Rfam family: Bacterial small subunit ribosomal RNA
Source: RNAcentral
CGGCGGACGGGUGAGUAACACGUGGAUAACCUACCUAUAAGACUGGGAUAACUUCGGGAAACCGGAGCUAAUACCGGAUAAUAUAUUGAACCGCAUGGUUCAAUAGUGAAAGACGGUUUUGCUGUCACUUAUAGAUGGAUCCGCGCCGCAUUAGCUAGUUGGUAAGGUAACGGCUUACCAAGGCAACGAUGCGUAGCCGACCUGAGAGGGUUAUCGGCCACACUGGAACUGAGACACGGUCCAGACUCCUACGGGAGGGCAGCAGCC